CAAUAGCGUAUAUUAAAGUUGUUGCAGUUAAAAAGCUCGUAGUUGAAUUUUUGCUUGCCGCCGAUGUCGGAACUUCCGUACGUUCGGCGGCGUGCAUCCUUGGGUGGAACCUGUGUGGCAUUAGGUUGUCGUGCAGGGGAUGCUCAUCGUUUACUGUGAAAAAAUUAGAGUGUUCAAAGCAGGCUUACGCCGUUGAAUAUAUUAGCAUGGAAUAAUAAGAUAGGACCUUGGUACUAUUUUGUUGGUUUGCGCACCGAGGUAAUGAUUAACAGGGACAGUUGGGGGUAUUCGUAUUCCAUUGUCAGAGGUGAAAUUCUUGGAUUUCUGGAAGACAAACUACUGCGAAAGCAUUUACCAAGGAUGUUUUCAUUAA
Molecule: ribosomal RNA, 373 nt
Filed under: uncultured eukaryote
Lineage: Eukaryota
Description: partial 18S ribosomal RNA
Rfam family: Eukaryotic small subunit ribosomal RNA
Source: RNAcentral